Columba livia (rock pigeon) is the source of this 1250-nucleotide long non-coding RNA. RefSeq lists it as uncharacterized. The transcript has 3 exons. The record is from RefSeq and is a predicted model, not a curated record. Lineage: Eukaryota; Metazoa; Chordata; Aves; Columbiformes; Columbidae.
GCUUCACACCGCCAAAGCAAGAGGAGCUCCCUGGGUGGAUUUCAGAUGAAGGAGUUGGAGGCUUGGCAAAGAGCAGGAGAAAUUAAAGUACAGAACUGAGACGAUGCAUCGACUCGUGCACCAAGUCAGUGGUGCGGGAUGGUGAUCGCUCAGGAAUUGCUCAUGGACAGAAGGAUUUUUUCCACAUUUGCACCGUGCACGGCCGCUGCCUGACAGCAUUAGUGGAAACUGCCUUUCCCCAGUGACCUUGCUGCUAAGCUGGAGGCUGCCGGUGACUGUCGCCUCCAAUGACACUGCUCAGAGGGUACUUGUCAGAACAAUUACCGCUGGUGGCAAAACCCAAAUGUCCCUCUCGACUUGUCUUUUCAAGCAAGUUUCUGCAAGAGGUGUUUCAAGCUGCUUGUCUGUAGCAUUCACAUAGUGCCUGCUCUGAUUUUUUGGGUGAAAAGAUGACCAAACCUACUCCUCCUCCAAGCAAACCAUGGGAUUUACAGGAGAUGCUGCACCACCAGCCCAGCCACAUGUCUCUUCCAACCGAUGGACCCCACAGAAUGGAUAAGCCUUGAGAACAAUUAGGAAGAACGGUGGUUUAUUCUCCACUUUCAAGCGAGACUGUGAAGCUUUUGAAGCAAAGUGAGGUGGUUAUUUUAUUGUUGUUUCUUUUUUCCCAGGGAUUCCCCAAGUGGAUGGCUGUCAAAGAUUUUAAUAUACUGCAGGCACAGCAGCUAAUUCUCAAAUCUCUUGCAGAAGGAUUUUACAGAGGGAAGCUAGGAUGCAAAUCCUUUUGAAGGCUUUUUCCAUUUUGAAACCUAUAAAUAGGAAAGUAGGGCAAAAUGACUUUGACAAGUUUAGACCUCACCUUCUUUAAUUACUCUCUUUGGAUCAACAACUUGACUGCAAAUGCUUAUCUCCUCCAACAUUAUGCACAGGUUUGGAGUUUAUAUUUUAAGAGCAGUGCAUGACAAUUCUGCAUAAUAUUUUUAAUACGUCUGGCCUCCAGAAAUUUCCAUAUUCCAGUCAAUCUUUAAAUUUAUAAUUGAUAUAAAUGGUGAGCAGGGCUGAUUGCCUGAAUUGUCCUUUCAGUAUAAAAAGUCUGUCCAUUUACUCUUCUUUAAGAAUCAUAAAUUUUCUUCCUAACUCUGUUUUUGCAGUUCUUCUGCCUGUUUUUGCAGUUCUUCUCCCUUUUUUUAUAAAUAUGUAAAUUGAAAUUGAUUGUGUCUUGUUAUUAGUAAUAAUAUUAAUAGUUAAUA